Molecule: long non-coding RNA, 306 nt
Filed under: Trifolium pratense (red clover)
Lineage: Eukaryota; Viridiplantae; Streptophyta; Magnoliopsida; Fabales; Fabaceae
Description: long non-coding RNA (TPRA_LNC003085)
Source: RNAcentral
UGGGUAUUUAUGUCAUUUAAUAAACAUACAUUUUUCUUUCCUUUCACUUUUUUUCACUUUCACUCAUACCAAACAAUUAAUCAAUCAUCUCACUUUAUACUCAUUUUCCAUCUACUUUCUUUCCUUUAAGAUUCUUUUCUUUCACUAUCUUUCCAUUCACUUUCUUUUUCUCAUUCAAACAUAUUGUAAAGUCUUUAUCAAUGUUUGAGAAUUGAGACUACUCCUCAUCAUAUACUACUUCAUUAUUUGUACUCUCUAUUUUCAGUAAUUUAUAGUACCUAUCAUAUCAAUUUGGGUCCACAAGUG